RNAcentral lists this transfer RNA (90 nucleotides) under Thermoplasmatales archaeon. Its description in RNAcentral is "tRNA-Ala". It matches the Rfam family "tRNA". Rfam says of the family: Transfer RNA (tRNA) molecules are approximately 80 nucleotides in length. Lineage: Archaea; Methanobacteriati; Thermoplasmatota; Thermoplasmata; Thermoplasmatales. The record is from RNAcentral.
GGGCCGGUAGAUCAGGGGAAGAUUGCUUGCUUCGCAAGCAAGAGGUCGCGGGUUCAAAAUGCAUUUUGCAUGGACAUCCCGCCCGGUCCA